Molecule: ribosomal RNA, 478 nt
Filed under: uncultured bacterium
Lineage: Bacteria
Description: partial 16S ribosomal RNA
Rfam family: Bacterial small subunit ribosomal RNA
Source: RNAcentral
GAUGAACGCUGGCGGCGUGCUUAACACAUGCAAGUCGAACGAGAAAUGGAGACGGAAACCUUCGGGCGGAAGGCUUCAUUUCGAGUGGCGGACGGGUGAGUAACGCGUGGGUAACCUGCCUCAUACAGGGGGAUAACAGUUGGAAACGACUGUUAAUACCGCAUAAGACCACAGCACCGCAUGGUGCGGGGGUAAAAACUCCGGUGGUAUGAGAUGGACCCGCGUUCGAUUAGCCAGUUGGCGGGGUAACGGCCCACCAAAGCGACGAUCGAUAGUCGAUCUGAGAGGAUGACCGGCCACAUUGGGACUGAGACACGGCCCAAACUCCUACGGGAGGCAGCAGUGGGGAAUAUUGCACAAUGGGGGAAACCCUGAUGCAGCGACGCCGCGUGAGUGAAGAAGUACUUCGGUAUGUAAAGCUCUAUCAGCAGGGAAGAAAAUGACGGUACCUGAGUAAGAAGCCCCGGCUAACUACGUG